This 464-nucleotide ribosomal RNA is filed under the name uncultured bacterium. RNAcentral describes it as "bacterial SSU rRNA". It matches the Rfam family "Bacterial small subunit ribosomal RNA", at positions 331 to 792 of the family's 1533-position model. The record is from RNAcentral.
CCAGACUCCUACGGGAGGCAGCAGUGAGGAAUAUUGGUCAAUGGGCGGAAGCCUGAACCAGCCAAGUCGCGUGAGGGAAUAAGGCCCUACGGGUCGUAAACCUCUUUUGCCGGGGAGCAAGGGCGGGGACGUGUCCCGGCCCGGAGAGUACCCGGAGAAAAAGCAUCGGCUAACUCCGUGCCAGCAGCCGCGGUAAUACGGAGGAUGCGAGCGUUAUCCGGAUUUAUUGGGUUUAAAGGGUGCGUAGGCGGAAUGCCAAGUCAGCGGUAAAAUCGCGGGGCUCAACCUCGCUCCGCCGUUGAAACUGGCGUUCUUGAGUGGGCGAGAAGUAUGCGGAAUGCGUGGUGUAGCGGUGAAAUGCAUAGAUAUCACGCAGAACUCCGAUUGCGAAGGCAGCAUACCGGCGCCCAACUGACGCUGAAGCACGAAAGCGUGGGUAUCGAACAGGAUUAGAUACCCGAGUA